This 21-nucleotide non-coding RNA is filed under the name Caenorhabditis elegans. Lineage: Eukaryota; Metazoa; Nematoda; Chromadorea; Rhabditida; Rhabditidae. The record is from RNAcentral.
UCAAUCAGUCAACAUCAAACU